RNAcentral lists this non-coding RNA (28 nucleotides) under Homo sapiens (human). The record is from RNAcentral. Lineage: Eukaryota; Metazoa; Chordata; Mammalia; Primates; Hominidae.
UGGAGCAGUGACAAAUUUUGGGGGUGGU